This 766-nucleotide long non-coding RNA is filed under the name Sus scrofa (pig). RNAcentral describes it as "lncRNA (ENSSSCG00025042590.1)". Lineage: Eukaryota; Metazoa; Chordata; Mammalia; Artiodactyla; Suidae. The record is from RNAcentral.
AUAAAAAUAAUUAUGCCCAAAGAUUUCCAUUUAGAGUUAGAAAAUAGUAGAUAAGAAUUGUUUCUAUUGGAAAUGAAGCAAUGUGGCUCAUUUUCUAAAAACUAGUUCCUAGAGUCAGCAUUGUCUCAACUACACUAAAUAUUUUAACUGUAUUUAAUGAUGGGAUUAUAGUAUUUCUUUGUGUGUGUAAUAAAACUUGAAACAAUCUUACAACAAAUUUAAUUGCUUAAUCCUUACCUUCCUCCGAGUUAACCUAAGUAAACUUUGAUUGGUUUUUUCCGUAAGUAUUUUAGACAUUAAGUUGCCACAUAUUACAUGUUUAUUUUGGUUUAGCUGUGUGUUCCUGGGAUCAAUCUAGCACCAGCUUUUUUUACUGAUAUCUGACUAAAUAUUCUCAGAAUUGGAUACCUUUUUUUUUUUUUUUUUUUUUUUUUUUUUUUUUUUUNNNNNNNNNNNNNNNNNNNNNNNNCAGGCUGGGGUCGAAUCGGAGCUGUUGCUGCUGGCCUACGCUAGAGCCACAGCAAGGCCAGAUCUAGCCAUGUCACGGCAACACCUGAUCCUUAAACCUACUGAGCAUGGCCAGGGAUUGAACCCUCAAUCUCAUGGUUCUAGUUGGAUUCGUUUCCUCUGUGCCACGACAGGAACUCCAGAAUUGGAUACCUUUAAUAUCUUCAUGGAAACUUCAUUUUGGCCUUUUGUCAAGUAUUUGGUGAAGUGCCUGACAUCUCAUUGGUGUUCUACAAACGUUCACCAAAAUAAACAGUGA